GGAAGUAAAAGUCGUAACAAGGUCUCCGUUGGUGAACCAGCGGAGGGAUCAUUAUAGAGUUAUCAAAAACUCCCAAACCCAUGUGAACUUACCUAUCGUUGCCUCGGCAGGCUGUCGUCCCGGCAGUGGUCCCGCGGGUGUGCCCUACGGCGCCCCGCUAACCACCCCCCCGGGCGGCGCCUAAAGGCCUGCCGGCGGCCCCACGAAACUCUUUGUUAUACAACUGUAAUUCUGAAUCAAUAACUAAAUAAGUUAAAACUUUCAACAACGGAUCUCUUGGUUCUGGCAUCGAUGAAGAACGCAGCGAAAUGCGAUAAGUAAUGUGAAUUGCAGAAUUCAGUGAAUCAUCGAAUCUUUGAACGCACAUUGCGCCCAUUAGUAUUCUAGUGGGCAUGCCUGUUCGAGCGUCAUUUCAACCCUUAAGCCCCCGUUGCUUAGCGUUGGGAGCCUGCCGGGGGGAGAGUCUCUCCCCUCCCCGCAGCUCCCCAAAGACAGUGGCAGAGUCGGUACCGUACUCUAGGCGUAGUAAAUCUUUUCUCGCCUCUGCAGUCGGUCUGGCACUCGCCGUAAAACACCCCAAUUUAUCAAAGGUUGACCUCGGAUCAGGUAGGAAUACCCGCUGAACUUAAGCAUAU
This 635-nucleotide ribosomal RNA is filed under the name Poronia punctata. RNAcentral describes it as "eukaryotic LSU rRNA". The stretch from base 257 to 410 matches the Rfam family "5.8S ribosomal RNA". The record is from RNAcentral. Lineage: Eukaryota; Fungi; Ascomycota; Sordariomycetes; Xylariales; Xylariaceae.